Helianthus annuus (common sunflower) is the source of this 2142-nucleotide long non-coding RNA. RefSeq lists it as uncharacterized. The transcript is spliced from 4 exons. The record is from RefSeq and is a predicted model, not a curated record. Lineage: Eukaryota; Viridiplantae; Streptophyta; Magnoliopsida; Asterales; Asteraceae.
UUAUUUCUUCAAUUCUCCCUUUGAGCGGCAAAUUGAAUACACGCUCUUUUUCUUCACCGCUUCUCGAUCAACCUUCAAUCUAAUCGGACUUUCCAUAAUGAAGAAGAGAACCUUUCCUCUGUAUCUUAUUUUGCAUUCACAAACCCUGAUUGCAUUCCCCUGCUGCAUUUUGCUGGAGUGAUUUGUUCUUCCAUCGGUAUUUUUUGUUUCUGAAUCAAUCUAUUUGUCUAAUUCAUCCUGUAAUUGUGUGUGUUAAUCUUUGAUUUUUAUAUGUUUUACUUAGAUUUCAUUUAUUUUCAUGUUUUUUUUGUAUGAUUGUCUCAAUUUUGGGGUUUAUUGUUAAGAUCAAAAACCCUAACUUUAUAUGUUCUUGUGUAUUAGUUGAUCCAAUGGUGGAUUAUUGGAUUACCGAUUUGUAUGCGAGAGGCACGCAGGUUCAGUUUUUAAUUUUUAUAAACCCUAUAAUAAUAUUUAUUAUUCAAGUAGAAUGAACUGGGCAAUCAAUCCUUGGCGAUUCAUCUCUCAAUCAUUCCUCUGGGUCGUUUGUUUCAUUUGUUGCUUCUUCAUCUCUGUAAUUUUCUGUCAUGUAUCCGUACUAUUGCUUGAAUAAACUGACAUUACCCAAGGUGGAUGAUGAUGAUGAUGAUGAUGUUGAGAAGGAGAAAGUAGACCUGUUUCUUCGCACAAGGUUAAGGAAUGUCGGGUUGCUGCAGUCAAUGAUCUUUGCUUUUGACUUGAAGAAAAUUAACUGAGAUACCACUCAGAGACAGAUGCAUUAUUUUGCCCCCACAGACCAAUGUGACACAGGUAGUGAAAACAAAGGAUGUCAUAGAAGUUACCACAGAUCAUGGUGAAGAGUUAAUGACAGAUAUUGUAAGUUUUGCCACUGGUAAUUUCUUUUCUCAUAAAAGAUAGUCAUUAUAGUUAAUACAAGAUUUUCUUUAUAUAUAAUUAAAUGAUGCUUGCUAAAUUUUAAAAUUGUAAUUUCUUUGCUGGUAAUUCGUUUUCUCAUAAAAGAUCAUCAUAGUUAAUGUUAAAUUUUCUAUAUAUAUAAUUAAAUGAUGCUUGCUAAAUUUUAAAAUUGUAAUUUUUAAUUAAGGGAAAAACAACUCAACACAAAACUUAAAAAUUAUAAAAUUUGUGGGACAUUUUGAAUUGGAGCUCCAACCUCCAAGUGAUGGAAAUUGGGCUGAUGAUUCCAUAUUUGCCAGCUCUUUAUAAAGGUGCUAAAAUGGUGGGUGGAUCAGGUAAUGGUUCAAAAUAGGGCCGGGUUGAAACGGGCCGAGUUAGGUUGAGGAUAACCAGAAAGGUUUUCUCCAUUUUUUUAUUAAUAACUAAUUUGUUAAUAAUGGUCUCAGAAAUAAUAUUAUCAGAAUAAUAAUCUAAAUCAUUUAGAGGCUUGAUAAAGAAUUUGUGACAUCAGCUUUAUAAAGGGAAUGUGUAUGAUCACUGAGGCUACUCGAAGGAAUACCAUGUAAUGGCAAAAAGUUAGUGGACUCUAGGAGGUUAUGCCAAAGUAAUUUCAGGUCAAAACUGGUAAUUUGUGGUAAAUGUCGAGUUUUCGAUCUUUAGACCUUAAAACACUUUGUCUGAAUUUUUUUAUGAAUAAAUUGUACGUUAUGUUUAAGUAAGUUAUACUAUUUCAAUAUUAGUAAAUCAUUUUGAAUAAAAUUGUUGUAAAGGUUUUGUGAAUUAAGAAUACUGUUUUGGUGCCCUCGACCCAUAUGAUCUUUUCCUUUUAGCUAGCUAUAUUUGAUUUUACCCGUUAAAGGUAACGUUUUUUGGGAUUGGCCAGAUGCCGGCGUGAAUAACCACAACCUUCUUAUCACGUUAUAAUCAAUAUAAAUCGCAUCGCAGGUAUUUGUUUAUUUAUUUAUUCUUUGCAAUGGAUAUUGGUUUGUUUUAAAACAUUUGUUUUCGAGGCUAUAAUUUUCUUGAUUACUGGUUCUAAAUGUUCAGAAUGUUAUACCUUAUUAGACAAUUGACACUUGAAUAUUCAUUUAUCCAUAAGUAUAUGUUUAUUCAUUUAAGGUGGUCAAUGAAAUGUUCAUGUUGUUCUCAAAAUUUAUUUCUUAAGGUUAUGGGUUGAUUAGGAAACAAGGGUUUAGAGGUUAGCUAUUGUUUUGUGAUGUGCGUGUAGUG